This is a non-coding RNA of Cucurbita pepo subsp. pepo (vegetable marrow), 1508 nucleotides long. The record is from RefSeq and is a predicted model, not a curated record. Lineage: Eukaryota; Viridiplantae; Streptophyta; Magnoliopsida; Cucurbitales; Cucurbitaceae.
UACGCUUCUUUAAAUGUGCAGUUCGAUAAGAAACUUCAUUCUUCAACCUCGUUGAUCGCUCUCACCUUUGAUUGAACUGGAGGUAGGAGUUGUUGGGUUAGGCAUUUUGCAAACUUGUCAAACAGCUACUUCUCUGGAGGAGAAACUACCAUUACUUUAGUAGUUGUGACGAGAAGAUAGUUAUGAACGAUUAUGAUUCCGAUGCCAUUAGGUGGGGUCUUCGUCUUUUCAAUGGGGACUCAUCCUAUAGUACCGAGUACUUUCAUGACAUGGCACAACAUGAUGUUAAUUUCGAUGACCAUUAUCAUGGAAAUCGUUGCAAUAAUGAAGUUAACCACGUGGAGAACGAUGAGAUUAUUGCACACACUCUUCAGGAGGAGUUUACCCAAUUAGAAAUCGCAGAGGCCUCGGGCUGUUCAAAUGCAGAAGAGCCCUCCCAAACAUCUAAUUUUGCGCUGGGUUGGAACAAUCGGUCCUCAAGAAACUACAAAAAUGAGUCGGUUGAAGAUGAAGUUGAAACUAUGGAGCCUUCUAGUUCAUGUUCUAGUCCAAGUCAUGAAGAUAAUUACUUUCCAUACGGGCAUGAGAAUCUAGUAGAUUGGAAAAUGGAUCAAAUGAUUCCAGCGCCUCAUGUCCCAAGAACUAAUGGUGAGAUUCCUCCAAUUGAUGAAGUAACUUCAGAUCAUCAAAGGUUGCUGGAUAGGUUGAAGGUAUAUGAUUUUGUUGAACGAAAGGUUAAAGGGGAUGGUAACUGUCAGUUCCGUGCCUUAUCAGAUCAACUAUUUGGAACAUCUGAACGCCACAAGUUGGUGAGAGAAAAUGUUGUGAAUCAGCUCAAGUCACACCAGGAGAUUUAUGAGGGAUAUGUUCCCAUGGGAUACGAUGAUUAUUUGGAAAAGAUGUCCAUGAGUGGUGAGUGGGGUGAUCAUGUAACACUACAGGCAGCUGCAGAUUGGUAUGGCGUUAAGAUAUUCGUUAUGGCUUCUUUCAAGGAAACUUGUUGUAUAGAGAUCAUCCCUAAUUUCCAGAAGAAAAAACAAGUCAUUUUCCUGAGCUUUUGGGCAGAGGUGCAUUACAAUUCAAUCUAUCCUCAACGGGGUAACUAUUUUUAGUCUUCUAUUCACAGUGAACUUAGCUGCUUGAUACUUAUCACUCAUAUGUUAUAUUUGCAGAUGAGCAAUCAAAUGACUACAGAAAGAGGAGGAGAUGGUGGAUUUUUGGAUCCAAGCAUUGAAACUCUAAGCAAAAGGUGCAUUACGUCUCCUCUCCUGCUUUUCCCCUUGCUGGUGGUCGUGGUCUUCUUUAAAUUUUGAGAAGACUUGCGACACAUUCUUUUUACUAAUAAGUUUGAGAAACUCGGUCUGUCUUCCUCUGGAUCAUAUUCACCACUUUACAUUACAUAGAUUAAUAAAAUUUGCUGGCUUCUUGCACUUUGUUAACCCUUGAAUUACAAGCUCAACAGAUGUAAUAUUAUUGCUCUUGAUCAAAUGCAUUUCUAUGAAAAAUUA